This 253-nucleotide ribosomal RNA is filed under the name uncultured bacterium. Its description in RNAcentral is "partial 16S ribosomal RNA". It matches the Rfam family "Bacterial small subunit ribosomal RNA", at positions 524 to 776 of the family's 1533-position model. The record is from RNAcentral.
UACGUAGGUGGCAAGCGUUGUCCGGAAUUAUUGGGCGUAAAGCGCGCGCAGGCGGCCUUUUAAGUCUGAUGUGAAAGCCCACGGCUCAACCGUGGAAGGUCAUUGGAAACUGAAAGGCUUGAGUACAGAAGAGGAAAGCGGAAUUCCACGUGUAGCGGUGAAAUGCGUAGAGAUGUGGAGGAACACCAGUGGCGAAGGCGGCUUUCUGGUCUGUAACUGACGCUGAGGCGCGAAAGUGUGGGGAGCAAACAGG